This is a long non-coding RNA of Engraulis encrasicolus (European anchovy), 326 nucleotides long. RefSeq lists it as uncharacterized. NCBI's taxonomy places the organism in Eukaryota, Metazoa, Chordata, Actinopteri, Clupeiformes, Engraulidae. The record is from RefSeq and is a predicted model, not a curated record. The transcript is spliced from 5 exons.
GGGAGAUGUUGGUCCUGAUGGAGGUAAUGGACCACCAGGGGAUCGUGGAGACAAGGGUGAGAAGGGAGACCAGGGCCCACCGGGAAAGCCAGGACCACACGGCCUUGACGGGCAGCCUGGCCGGGAAGGGGAGCCAGGAGAACCAGGCGACCCGGGCGCGAAAGGAGAGCGAGGACCACCCGGAGUAGAGGGCAUCAAAGGAAGAGCUGGACGCUUGGGGCCCCCUGGCCCACCUGGUCCGAAAGGAGGACGAGGAACUCCAGGAAUACAGGGCGCGGAUGGAGGAGUGGGUCCACCCGGCCCAUCCGGACUCAGAGGACUACCGG